This 497-nucleotide ribosomal RNA is filed under the name uncultured bacterium. Its description in RNAcentral is "partial 16S ribosomal RNA". It matches the Rfam family "Bacterial small subunit ribosomal RNA", at positions 28 to 507 of the family's 1533-position model. The record is from RNAcentral.
GAUGAACGCUGGCGGCGUGCCUAAUACAUGCAAGUCGAGCGAACAGACGAGGAGCUUGCUCCUCUGACGUUAGCGGCGGACGGGUGAGUAACACGUGGAUAACCUACCUAUAAGACUGGGAUAACUUCGGGAAACCGGAGCUAAUACCGGAUAAUAUAUUGAACCGCAUGGUUCAAUAGUGAAAGACGGUUUUGCUGUCACUUAUAGAUUGAUCCGCGCCGCAUUAGCUAGUUGGUAAGGUAACGGCUUACCAAGGCAACGAUGCGUAGCCGACCUGAGAGGGUGAUCGGCCACACUGGAACUGAGACACGGUCCAGACUCCCACGGGAGGCAGCAGUAGGGAAUCUUCCGCAAUGGGCGAAAGCUUGACGGAGCAACGCCGCGUGAGUGAUGAAGGUCUUCGGAUCGUAAAACUCUGUUAUUAGGGAAGAACAAAUGUGUAAGUAACUAUGCACGUCUUGACGGUACCUAAUCAGAAAGCCACGGCUAACUACGUG